AGCCUCCGAACCAGUUUUCAGCCAUAAAAACGUGUGCUAUAUGUCAUCAGUGCCCGAAAACGGCCACACCUGCCACCGGGGACGAAAAACAUGGGGGAUGACCGAAGAAGUGAAAAUAGCCUCGGGACCCAUUUUCGGCCCCGAAAAUGUGUGCUAUAGGUCACGAGUGCCAAAAAAUGGCAACACCUACCACCGGGGUCGAAAACGUGGGGGAUGAUCGAAGACGUGAAAAUGGCCUCCGG
Molecule: long non-coding RNA, 242 nt
Filed under: Setaria italica (foxtail millet)
Lineage: Eukaryota; Viridiplantae; Streptophyta; Magnoliopsida; Poales; Poaceae
Description: long non-coding RNA (SITA_LNC006354)
Source: RNAcentral